GGCGGCGUACCCAAGAGGCCCAAGGGAGCGGUCUGCAAAACCGCGACUCACCGGUUCAAAUCCGGUCGCCGCCU
This 74-nucleotide transfer RNA is filed under the name Candidatus Lindowbacteria bacterium RIFCSPLOWO2_02_FULL_62_12. RNAcentral's name for it is "tRNA-Cys". It matches the Rfam family "tRNA". Rfam says of the family: Transfer RNA (tRNA) molecules are approximately 80 nucleotides in length. The record is from RNAcentral. Lineage: Bacteria; Candidatus Lindowiibacteriota.